CAUUUUUCCCCUAUUACAAAAACAUGGAACGCGUCACCCUGCACCCCUGUGUGCCAAAUCGGAUAUGGACAUCCAAUAGAGCGUACUUUGGCUUUUCAAUUCUAAUAAAUGUUUAAGAGUGAUGGAGAGACUUUCUUUUCCUGCCGGUGUCUAUGAAGACUGUGUCGGUGAACUGGUGGAUGAGGAUGUCCUUUGUGUUGUGUGCCGAAGAAGCAAUGGAAAGAAAAGAACAGAGGAAGAGGAAAGCUAGAAGAAU
RNAcentral lists this small RNA (256 nucleotides) under Vigna angularis var. angularis. Its description in RNAcentral is "Non-protein coding transcript". The record is from RNAcentral. Lineage: Eukaryota; Viridiplantae; Streptophyta; Magnoliopsida; Fabales; Fabaceae.